CCUACGGGAGGCAGCAGUGGGGAAUAUUGCACAAUGGAGGAAACUCUGAUGCAGCAAUGCCGCGUAUGUGAAGAAGGCCUUAGGGUUGUAAAGCACUUUCAGUAGGGAGGAAAAGUUUAAGGUUAAUAACCUUAGGCCCUGACGUUACCUACAGAAGAAGCACCGGCUAACUCCGUGCCAGCAGCCGCGGUAAU
Molecule: ribosomal RNA, 194 nt
Filed under: Cycloclasticus spirillensus
Lineage: Bacteria; Pseudomonadati; Pseudomonadota; Gammaproteobacteria; Thiotrichales; Piscirickettsiaceae
Description: partial 16S ribosomal RNA
Rfam family: Bacterial small subunit ribosomal RNA
Source: RNAcentral